RNAcentral lists this unclassified non-coding RNA (187 nucleotides) under Funneliformis sp. RNAcentral describes it as "partial internal transcribed spacer region". The stretch from base 1 to 46 matches the Rfam family "Eukaryotic small subunit ribosomal RNA", at positions 1786 to 1831 of the family's 1831-position model. Lineage: Eukaryota; Fungi; Glomeromycota; Glomeromycetes; Glomerales; Glomeraceae. RNAcentral also lists the same sequence under 2 other names. The record is from RNAcentral.
AAGUCGUAACAAGGUUUCCGUAGGUGAACCUGCGGAAGGAUCAUUAAUGAUUUUUAAAGCGAGUCGAGCGUUUAAGCGAGGCUUGCGAAAAUAUUUAAAACCCCACUCUUUUUAACCUUAAAAAAUAAAUCAUGAUACAUGAAUUUAAAAAAAAAGAUCACUUUCAACAACGGAUCUCUUGGCUCUC